UUUUCGGAGAGUUUGAUCCUGGCUCAGGAUUAACGCUGGCGGCGUGCAUGAGACAUGCAAGUCGAACGGACGAUCAGGGCUUGCUCUGAUCGUUAGUGGCGGACGGCUGAGUAACGCGUAGGUGACCUGCCCCGAAGUGGGGAAUAACUGCCCGAAAGGGUGGCUAAUACCGCAUG
This 176-nucleotide ribosomal RNA is filed under the name Chloroflexota bacterium. Its description in RNAcentral is "Chloroflexi bacterium partial 16S ribosomal RNA". It matches the Rfam family "Bacterial small subunit ribosomal RNA", at positions 1 to 175 of the family's 1533-position model. Lineage: Bacteria; Bacillati; Chloroflexota. The record is from RNAcentral.